UUUGAAAUCUUCCCGGGGAGUUGUAAUUUGAAGAUUGCGUCUUGGAGGCGACCGUGUCUAUGUUCCUUGGAACAGGACGUCACAGAGGGUGAGAAUCCCGUGCGGCACGGCCCCCGGCUCCUUAUAAGGCGCUCUCGACGAGUCGAGUUGUUUGGGAAUGCAGCUCAAAGUGGGUGGUAAAUUCCAUCUAAAGCUAAAUACAGGCGAGAGACCGAUAGCGAACAAGUACAGUGAUGGAAAGAUGAAAAGCACUUUGAAAAGAGAGUGAAACAGCACGUGAAAUUGUUGAAAGGGAAGGGCAUGCCGUCAGAUUGUCAGUGUGGGUAAGAAGCGGGGUACAAAGACUGUGGAACGUGGCCCUCGGGUGUUAUAGCCGCAGUUCAUGCCCCGUCUCUUUCCGAGGCCUGCUUUGAGGACACCGACGUAAUGACGGUACGCC
This 439-nucleotide ribosomal RNA is filed under the name Kodamaea ohmeri. RNAcentral's name for it is "eukaryotic LSU rRNA". It matches the Rfam family "Eukaryotic large subunit ribosomal RNA", at positions 123 to 646 of the family's 3401-position model. Lineage: Eukaryota; Fungi; Ascomycota; Pichiomycetes; Serinales; Debaryomycetaceae. The record is from RNAcentral.